This 346-nucleotide unclassified non-coding RNA is filed under the name soil metagenome. RNAcentral describes it as "partial contains 5.8S ribosomal RNA, internal transcribed spacer 2, and large subunit ribosomal RNA". The stretch from base 1 to 121 matches the Rfam family "5.8S ribosomal RNA", at positions 35 to 154 of the family's 154-position model. The record is from RNAcentral.
GAUGAAGAACGUAGCGAAAUGCGAUAAGUAAUGCGAAUUGCAGAAUUUCCGUGAGUCAUCGAAUCUUUGAACGCACAUUGCGCCCACUGGUAUUCCGGUGGGCAUGCCUGUUCGAGCGUCAUUAUCCUCCCUCAAACCCCGGGUUUGGUGUUGGACCGAAGUUGUGUGAACAACUGGUCUCAAAGACAAUGACGGCGUCCGUGGGACCCUCGGUGCAACGAGCUUUUAGGAGCACGCGUCGAGUUUCAAGGACCUUCCGGGCCGGUCUCCUUUACUAUUUUUACAAGGUUGACCUCGGAUCAGGUAGGAAUACCCGCUGAACUUAAGCAUAUCAAUAAGCGGAGGA